This 1077-nucleotide ribosomal RNA is filed under the name Clostridioides difficile. RNAcentral's name for it is "partial 23S ribosomal RNA". It matches the Rfam family "Bacterial large subunit ribosomal RNA", at positions 261 to 1350 of the family's 2925-position model. The record is from RNAcentral. Lineage: Bacteria; Bacillati; Bacillota; Clostridia; Peptostreptococcales; Peptostreptococcaceae.
GGAUUAGCCCAAACCAAUAAAGUUUUCUUUGUUGGGGUUGCGGACAUAUCAUAACGAAGAGGUAUCGUAAUUGAAGAGGUUUGGAAAGACCCACCACAGAAGGUAAUAGUCCUGUAUGUUAAACGAGAAGACUUUAGAUAUGAUCCAGAGUACCACGGGACACGUGAAACCCUGUGGGAAGCAGGAGGGACCACCCUCCAAGGCUAAAUACUACCUAGUGACCGAUAGCGUAUAGUACCGUGAGGGAAAGGUGAAAAGAACCCCGGGAGGGGAGUGAAAUAGAACCUGAAACCCUGCACUUACAAGCUGUGGAAGCACAUUUCUUGUGUGACCGCGUACUUUUUGUAGAACGGGCCAACGAGUUACGUUAAGUAGCAAGGUUAAGCACUUAAGGUGCGGAGCCGUAGCGAAAGCGAGUUUUAACUGAGCGUUCAGUUACUUGACGUAGACCCGAAACCGGGCGACCUACCCAUGAGCAGGAUGAAGCGAAAGUAAAAUUUCGUGGAGGUCCGAACCCACGAGCGUUGAAAAGCUCGGGGAUGACUUGUGGGUAGCGGUGAAAUUCCAAUCGAGCCCGGAGAUAGCUGGUUCUCCCCGAAAUAGCUUUAGGGCUAGCCUCAAGGUGAGAGAUACGGAGGUAGAGCACUGAAUGUCCUAGGGGGUAUUGCACCUACCGAAGACUAUCAAACUCCGAAUGCCGUCAUCUUAUACUUGGGAGUCAGACUGUGGGUGAUAAGAUUCAUAGUCGAAAGGGCAACAGCCCAGAUCGUCAGCUAAGGUCCCUAAAUGUAAGUUAAGUGGUAAAGGAUGUGGGAUUGCACAGACAACCAGGAUGUUGGCUUAGAAGCAGCCACUCAUUCAAAGAGUGCGUAAUAGCUCACUGGUCGAGUGAUCCUGCGCCGAAGAUUUCCGGGGCUAAAACUUACUACCGAAGCUACGGCAUCAGUAAUGAUGGGUAGGGGAGCUUCCCAUACGGGUUGAAGCAUGACCGUAAGGACAUGUGGACAGUAUGGGAGUGAGAAUGUUGGCAUGAGUAGCGAGAUGUGGGUGAGAAUCCCACAGGCCGUAAACCCAAGG